AACGGUCUAUACCUGCGGUACCUGCGGAGGGAUCAUUAAAGAAGUGAGCGCUUUGAAGCUGUAGCUGGCCCCUCGGGGUGCGUGCACGCUUUGAGCGCCUUUCCCACCUCACACCCCUUGUGCACCUUUGGGGCGCGCGUGGCCUUCGGGUCCCGUGCCCUUGUACUUUCACACACGCACCUUUGAAUGUCCUUUUUGUACGUCGACAGAUAAAUAAAUUACAACUUUCAACAACGGAUC
This 240-nucleotide unclassified non-coding RNA is filed under the name soil metagenome. RNAcentral describes it as "partial contains 5.8S ribosomal RNA, internal transcribed spacer 2, and large subunit ribosomal RNA". The record is from RNAcentral.